This 22-nucleotide microRNA is filed under the name Lepisosteus oculatus (spotted gar). Its description in RNAcentral is "Loc-Mir-727-P4-v1_3p* (star (passenger))". Lineage: Eukaryota; Metazoa; Chordata; Actinopteri; Semionotiformes; Lepisosteidae. RNAcentral also lists the same sequence under 3 other names. The record is from RNAcentral.
UGAGGCGAGUUGAAGACUAAAA